GACAAAGCAAGCAAGGUUUCACUUGCUGCCUAAAACAAUGCCGUCCACAGAACAUAACUGUACUUGUGAACAGAAAAGCAGGAGACUGAUCACUCCACAGACCUUGUAUUCACACCCAGUUUCAGGACUUAACAUAUGCACCCAAUGAGAAGAUACUUCUAAAACCUUGACAAUUUGUAAACUGGAAAGCCCCACUAAGAAAAGGUUAUCCAGUGAUUGGCCUGCAAAAACACAGGAACGUUCUAAUUAUCGUACCCUAUCACCUAUAACAACACACUGUAAGGAGAAUACAGCACCACUUUUUAAGACAAAUUUGAACUUGGGACAAUCAAAGGCAACCAAGUAAGAUACAUUUAGAAUGUUCUCAUUUUGAUGUAAACUGUGUAUGAGAAUAUGUUCAGUUUGUAGUAAU
RNAcentral lists this long non-coding RNA (412 nucleotides) under Cavia porcellus (domestic guinea pig). RNAcentral describes it as "lncRNA (ENSCPOG00000038661.1)". The record is from RNAcentral. Lineage: Eukaryota; Metazoa; Chordata; Mammalia; Rodentia; Caviidae.